CUCUCCGUGUGCCGCUCACGAGCGUGGCGCCUGCGUGCAUCGGCUGACGAGCGGCAGAGAUGCACUACACCACCGUCCUCGCCGUUGCUGCGCCACUGGCAUCCAUUGCUCUGUGCGUGUGCGCCGGUGUAAAGGAUGGGGCGGCGCACUCGCUUUUCCUUGCCGCAGCAACGUUCUUCAGCGGCGUCGUCAUGUGGCUGCGCUCCCGCUACAUCGCCGCCCUGUACCUGAACGAGCUUCAGGCACGGAGGCAGCACUUCACGGACUCCUUGCGUCGACGAUUCGGUGACGGCGGCGCCGCGGCUGCGGUGCGAGAGGCUAGCGCUCAGCGCGAUGAUGCCCGAGCUGCCGAGGCGUAUGCCGCGCCCUCGCCUUUGUCACGGCCGCCGCGGACAGUGGCGCGUGUCUCACCCGUGCUGCCAGCCUUCCUGGCGUGCUGCUUGUUCUUGAUAAGCAUCCUUUCCACCAUCUCCGCCGCCCUACACGCCAUUUUAUAUGUGCGAAGCCUCGAGACGGAGCAGCCGUGACUCCGUGCGAGAUAGAGGAGAGAGAGAGAGCGUGUUGCUGAGCUGGCCGUGAACCCCGAGGACGUGUGCAAAGUCGUGAGUGUGCACGCACGCCCGCGUUUCUUC
RNAcentral lists this unclassified non-coding RNA (632 nucleotides) under Leishmania donovani. RNAcentral's name for it is "gene:LdHU3.06.1170(CDS-product:hypothetical_prote in_conserved)". The record is from RNAcentral. Lineage: Eukaryota; Euglenozoa; Kinetoplastea; Trypanosomatida; Trypanosomatidae.